This 524-nucleotide ribosomal RNA is filed under the name uncultured bacterium. RNAcentral describes it as "partial 16S ribosomal RNA". It matches the Rfam family "Bacterial small subunit ribosomal RNA", at positions 28 to 523 of the family's 1533-position model. The record is from RNAcentral.
GACGAACGCUGGCGGCGUGCUUAACACAUGCAAGUCGAACGAGACGAUUGAAAGCUUGCUUUCGAAAGUCGAGUGGCAAACGGGUGAGUAACGCGUAGACAACCUGCCUUUGAGAUGGGGACAACAGUUCGAAAGGACUGCUAAUACCGAAUGUUGUAUAUUUUCCACAUGGAAGAUAUAUUAAAGAUGGCCUCUAUUUAUAAGCUAUCGCUCAAAGAUGGGUCUGCGUCUGAUUAGCUAGUUGGUGGGGUAACGGCCUACCAAGGCGACGAUCAGUAGCCGGUCUGAGAGGAUGAACGGCCACAGUGGGACUUAGACACGGCCCAGACUCCUACGGGAGGCAGCAGUGGGGAAUCUUCCGAAAUGGACGAAAGUCUGACGGAGCAACGCCGCGUGAGUGAAGAAGGUUUUCGGAUCGUAAAGCUCUGUUGUUUGAGACGAAUGUGUAUAUUAUUAAUACGGAUAUACAAUGACGGUAUUAAACGAGAAAGCCACGGCUAACUACGUGCCAGCCGCCGCCGUAA